GACGAACGCUGGCGGCGUGCUUAACACAUGCAAGUCGAGCGGAAAGGCCCGGCGCUUGUUUGUCUCUCGAUUGGCGAACGGGUGUGUGACACGUGUGUAAACUGCCCUUGUCUUUGUGAUAACUCCUGGGAACUGGGGCUCAUACCGGAUAUGAUCUCUUGCUGCACGUUGUUGGUUGGAAAGUUUCGGCGGUUCGGGCUGGACUCGAGGCUUAUCAGCUUCUUUGUGGGGUAGUUGCUGUCCAAGGUUUUGACGGGUAGCCGGCCUGGGAGGGUUACCGGCGACAUUAGGACUGCGGUACGGCGCAGACUGCUACGGGAGGCAGCGGUGGGGAACCUUGCAGAAUGGGCGGAAGCCUGAUGUAGAAGCGCUGCGUGCGGGAUACCGGCUUUCGGGUUGUAAACCGCUUUCGAAUGUGACGAAGCGUGAGUGACGGUAAUGAGUAAAAAAGCACCGGCUAACUACGUG
Molecule: ribosomal RNA, 468 nt
Filed under: uncultured bacterium
Lineage: Bacteria
Description: partial 16S ribosomal RNA
Rfam family: Bacterial small subunit ribosomal RNA
Source: RNAcentral